CCUACGGGAGGCAGCAGUGGGGGAUAUUGGACAAUGGGGGAAACCCUGAUCCAGCGACGCCGCGUGAGUGAAGAAGUAUUUCGGUAUGUAAAGCUCUAUCAGCAGGGAAGAAAGAAAUGACGGUACCUGAGUAAGAAGCCCCGGCUAACUACGUGCCAGCAGCCCCGGUAAUACGUAGGGGGCAAGCGUUAUCCGGAAUUACUGGGUGUACAGGGAGCGUAGACGGUAAUGCAAGUCUGGAGUGAAAGGCGGGGGGCCAACCCCCGGACUGUUCUGGAAACUGUGUAACUGGAGUGCAGGAGAGGCAGGCGGAAUUCCUAGUGUAGCGGUGAAAUGCGUAGAUAUUAGGAGGAACACCAGUGGCGAAGGCGGCCUGCUGGACUGUAACUGACGUUGAGGCUCGAAAGCGUGGGGAGCAAACAGGAUUAGAUACCCCUGUAGUC
Molecule: ribosomal RNA, 443 nt
Filed under: uncultured bacterium
Lineage: Bacteria
Description: partial 16S ribosomal RNA
Rfam family: Bacterial small subunit ribosomal RNA
Source: RNAcentral